CCNAUACAUACUCAGCGGGCGAACGGGUGAGUAACACGUGGGUAAUCUUCCUCCGAGUCUGGGAUAACUUUCCGAAAGGGGAGCUAAUACUGGAUAGUCCCGAGAGGUCAUAGGAUCUUGCGGGUAACCAUUUAUUGCUCGGAGAUGAGCCCGCGCCCUAUUAUCUAGUUGAGUAACGUAAUGGCUCUCCCCUGCCACAAUCGUUACCCGGCCUCAGAGGGUGAUCNGCCACGUUGGAACUGACACACCGCCCCUACUCCUUGCUAAGGCACCUGAUUUGAAUCUUGCUCACUGGCGGCAAA
Molecule: ribosomal RNA, 302 nt
Filed under: Leptospira borgpetersenii
Lineage: Bacteria; Pseudomonadati; Spirochaetota; Leptospiria; Leptospirales; Leptospiraceae
Description: bacterial SSU rRNA
Rfam family: Bacterial small subunit ribosomal RNA
Source: RNAcentral